RNAcentral lists this ribosomal RNA (1432 nucleotides) under uncultured organism. RNAcentral describes it as "16S ribosomal RNA". It matches the Rfam family "Bacterial small subunit ribosomal RNA". The record is from RNAcentral.
CAGGCUUAACACAUGCAAGUCGAGGGGCAUCAGGAAGAAAGCUUGCUUUCUUUGCUGGCGACCGGCGCACGGGUGAGUAACACGUAUCCAACCUGCCCUUUACUCGGGGAUAGCCUUUCGAAAGAAAGAUUAAUACCCGAUAGCAUAAUGAUUCCGCAUGGUUUCAUUAUUAAAGGAUUCCGGUAAAGGAUGGGGAUGCGUUCCAUUAGGUUGUUGGUGAGGUAACGGCCCACCAAGCCUUCGAUGGAUAGGGGUUCUGAGAGGAAGGUCCCCCACAUUGGAACUGAGACACGGUCCAAACUCCUACGGGAGGCAGCAGUGAGGAAUAUUGGUCAAUGGGCGCUAGCCUGAACCAGCCAAGUAGCGUGAAGGAUGAAGGCUCUAUGGGUCGUAAACUUCUUUUAUAUAAGAAUAAAGUGCAGUAUGUAUACUGUUUUGUAUGUAUUAUAUGAAUAAGGAUCGGCUAACUCCGUGCCAGCAGCCGCGGUAAUACGGAGGAUCCGAGCGUUAUCCGGAUUUAUUGGGUUUAAAGGGAGCGUAGGUGGACUGGUAAGUCAGUUGUGAAAGUUUGCGGCUCAACCGUAAAAUUGCAGUUGAUACUGUCAGUCUUGAGUACAGUAGAGGUGGGCGGAAUUCGUGGUGUAGCGGUGAAAUGCUUAGAUAUCACGAAGAACUCCGAUUGCGAAGGCAGCUCACUGGACUGCAACUGACACUGAUGCUCGAAAGUGUGGGUAUCAAACAGGAUUAGAUACCCUGGUAGUCCACACAGUAAACGAUGAAUACUCGCUGUUUGCGAUAUACAGUAAGCGGCCAAGCGAAAGCAUUAAGUAUUCCACCUGGGGAGUACGCCGGCAACGGUGAAACUCAAAGGAAUUGACGGGGGCCCGCACAAGCGGAGGAACAUGUGGUUUAAUUCGAUGAUACGCGAGGAACCUUACCCGGGCUUAAAUUGCAGUGGAAUGAUGUGGAAACAUGUCAGUGAGCAAUCACCGCUGUGAAGGUGCUGCAUGGUUGUCGUCAGCUCGUGCCGUGAGGUGUCGGCUUAAGUGCCAUAACGAGCGCAACCCUUAUCUUUAGUUACUAACAGGUUAUGCUGAGGACUCUAGAGAGACUGCCGUCGUAAGAUGUGAGGAAGGUGGGGAUGACGUCAAAUCAGCACGGCCCUUACGUCCGGGGCUACACACGUGUUACAAUGGGGGGUACAGAAGGCAGCUAGCGGGUGACCGUAUGCUAAUCCCAAAAUCCUCUCUCAGUUCGGAUCGAAGUCUGCAACCCGACUUCGUGAAGCUGGAUUCGCUAGUAAUCGCGCAUCAGCCACGGCGCGGUGAAUACGUUCCCGGGCCUUGUACACACCGCCCGUCAAGCCAUGGGAGCCGGGGGUACCUGAAGUACGUAACCGCAAGGAUCGUCCUAGGGUAAAACUGGUGACUGG